GACAGAGGGGGCAAGCGUUGCUCGGAAUCACUGGGCGUAAAGGGCGCGUAGGCGGGAUGGCAAGUCAGUCGUGAAAUCUCUCGGCUCAACCGAGAAACGUCGGCUGAUACUGCCGUUCUUGAGGGAUGCAGAGGAGACUGGAAUUCCCGGUGUAGCGGUGAAAUGUGUAGAGAUCGGGAGGAACACCGGUGGCGAAGGCGGGUCUCUGGGCAUCUCCUGACGCUGAGGCGCGAAAGCUAGGGGAGCGAACGGG
This 253-nucleotide ribosomal RNA is filed under the name uncultured bacterium. RNAcentral's name for it is "partial 16S ribosomal RNA". It matches the Rfam family "Bacterial small subunit ribosomal RNA", at positions 524 to 776 of the family's 1533-position model. The record is from RNAcentral.